Long non-coding RNA from Rhodamnia argentea, 1030 nucleotides. RefSeq lists it as uncharacterized. The transcript is spliced from 4 exons. The record is from RefSeq and is a predicted model, not a curated record. Lineage: Eukaryota; Viridiplantae; Streptophyta; Magnoliopsida; Myrtales; Myrtaceae.
UUCGAAGGUGGCCGGGUCGAGCAGUUAUCGGGUUUGUGGUUCCCUUUGAAAAACGGGUUGGGCUUAUAGCUCAACAGGAAGCCCAACCCGUUUUCCCUCUUUUCCCGUUUACCGAGUCACGCCCAGCUCCCGCUGGCCGAGUUACCGGAGUUCAGUCCACUUCCUUCAGCUCAAGCACCGCCGUCGGUGGCAACCAAGCCGGAGGACGAGCAGCUCGCAAGUCCACGACGAAGACGACGAAGGUGAGGUCUUCCUCGACGAGUCCAACAUCAUCCAUGAAGUCACCGUUGAUGGCGAAGGUUCGACCCCAUCUCUCUCGUUUCUUCUGAUGACCACCUCGCUAGCACAAUACAAGCUAUUCACGCGCAGCUCGUUUGGCGUAGCUUCUUGUGUAGGAGUGUCGAGGAUGUUCGUUUUUUUCGUUUAGUUGAUACCAUCCUGCCAAUUCAGCGACCUUUGUGCAAGUAAGGAAGCUGACGGUUCUUUGCACACAUUCACUGGUCAUAAUGGUGAACUAUAUACAGUUGCUUGCAGUCCCAUGGAUGCAACACUGGUGGGGGUGGUGAAAAAGCAUUUCUUUGGAGGAUAGGUCAUGUGGAUUGGGCAUCAGAGCUUCAAGGCAUGUAAAUGAAGCCACGUCCUAUUGCUCUACGUUAGAGCAGGCGCUAAUUUGUUUAUGUAACCCUCAUUCUGUAUAAGGCUUUAUGGCUCUAAUCCUUUAGAGCUCCUGCAGGUCAUAAGGGUUCUGUCUCUAGCUUAGUGUUGUGUAUGCAUGGGCAGUUUCUUGCAUCUGAAAGCCUGGAUGGACUCAUUCAGAUAUGGGAUGUCUCAUCUGGAAAUCAUAAAGGAACUCUUGAAGGACCUGGAGGGGGCAUAGAGGUGAAAAUGUGGCAUUCAAAGGGACACUUAAUAGUGGCAGUUUCUGAGGAUUUGACAGCUUGGAUGUGGAAUGCUGACAAGAUUUUAUACUUGAAUAUGUUCUCCGAACAUGGCAGCAAUGUAACUUGUGGAAAUUUCACUCGUGAUGGUA